UAGUUAUAUUCUUUAAACCUAAAGAAUUUGGCGGUGUUUUAGUCUAUUUAGAGGAAUUUGCUCUUUAAUCGAUAAUCCUCGUUUUAUCUAACUUUUUUUUGUUUUCAGUAUGUAUACCGCCGUUAUAAGUUUAUUUUUUUAGAAUUUUAAUUUACAAUAAUCUUUAUUUUGUUUUAUUUCAGGUCAAGGUGCAGUUUAUAUUAAAGUUGAGGUGAAUUACAAUAUUUUUGAAUAUAACGGAUAUAUUAUUUAAAAUUUUAUUGAAGGUGGAUUUAAUAGUAAUUUUAAUAAUAGUGUUAAUUUGAUUUUAGCUCUAAAAUAAGUACACAUCGCCCGUCGCUCUA
Molecule: ribosomal RNA, 344 nt
Filed under: Necrosciinae sp. 8 SB-2021
Lineage: Eukaryota; Metazoa; Arthropoda; Insecta; Phasmatodea; Lonchodidae
Description: partial small subunit ribosomal RNA
Source: RNAcentral